CCUACGGGUGGCAGCAGUGAGGAAUAUUGGUCAAUGGGCGGGAGCCUGAACCAGCCAAGUCGCGUGAGGGAAGACGGUCCUAUGGAUUGUAAACCUCUUUUGUCGGGGAACAAAAGCCGCCACGCGUGGCCUUCUGAGAGUACCCGAAGAAAAAGCAUCGGCUAACUCCGUGCCAGCAGCCGCGGUAAUACGGAGGAUGCGAGCGUUAUCCGGAUUCAUUGGGUUUAAAGGGUGCGUAGGUGGUUUUAUAAGUUAGCGGUGAAAGACCGAGGCUCAACCUCGGGGCUGCCGCUGAGACUGGAGGUCUAGAGUUCGGGAGAAGGAGGCGGAAUGUGUGGUGUAGCGGUGAAAUGCAUAGAUAUUACGCAGAACACCGAUUGCGAAGGCAGCUUGCUGGCCCGGAACUGACGCUGAGGCACGAAAGCGUGGGUAUCGAACAGGAUUAGAUACCGGGGUAGUC
This 460-nucleotide ribosomal RNA is filed under the name uncultured bacterium. Its description in RNAcentral is "partial 16S ribosomal RNA". It matches the Rfam family "Bacterial small subunit ribosomal RNA", at positions 338 to 795 of the family's 1533-position model. The record is from RNAcentral.